Molecule: ribosomal RNA, 839 nt
Filed under: uncultured Actinomycetes bacterium
Lineage: Bacteria; Bacillati; Actinomycetota; Actinomycetes
Description: bacterial SSU rRNA
Rfam family: Bacterial small subunit ribosomal RNA
Source: RNAcentral
UGGGGGGAGGGAGCAUGCGACGUCGGGCCCAAUUGGCCAUAUGGUGAGUCGUAUUAAGGGAGCUGCCUUGCUCCUCGGGAUAAGCCUGGGAAACUGGGUCUAAUACCGGAUAUGACCUCGGAAUGCAUGUUCUGGGGUGGAAAGAUUUAUCGGUGCGAGAUGGGCCCGCGGCCUAUCAGCUUGUUGGUGAGGUAACGGCUCACCAAGGCGACGACGGGUAGCCGACCUGAGAGGGUGACCGGCCACACUGGGACUGAGACACGGCCCAGACUCCUACGGGAGGCAGCAGUGGGGAAUAUUGCACAAUGGGCGCAAGCCUGAUGCAGCGACGCCGCGUGCGGGAUGACGGUCUUCGGGUUGUAAACCGCUUUUGACAGGGACGAAGCGCAAGUGACUGUACCUGUAGAAUAAGGACCGGCCAACUACGUGCCAGCAGCCGCGGUAAUACGUAGGGUCCGAGCGUUGUCCGGAAUUACUGGGCGUGAAGGGCUUGUAGGCCGUUCGUCGCGUCGUUUGUGAAAACUUGGGGCUCAACCUUAAGCUUGCAGGCGAUACGGGCGGACUAGAGUACUUCAGGGGAGACUGGAAUUCCUGGUGUAGCGGUGAAAUGCGCAGAUAUCAGGAGGAACACCGGUGGCGAAGGCGGGUCUCUGGGAAGUAACUGACGCUGAGAAGCGAAAGCGUGGGUAGCAAACAGGAUUAGAUACCCUGGUAGUCCAUGCCGUAAACGGUGGGUACUAGGUGUGGGGCUCCUUCCACGGACUCCGUGCCGUANCUAACGCAUUAAGUACCCCGCCUGGGGAGUACGGCGCAGGCUAAAACUCAAUGAAUUGACUGGG